Molecule: ribosomal RNA, 253 nt
Filed under: uncultured bacterium
Lineage: Bacteria
Description: partial 16S ribosomal RNA
Rfam family: Bacterial small subunit ribosomal RNA
Source: RNAcentral
UACGUAGGGUGCGAGCGUUGUCCGGAUUUAUUGGGCGUAAAGAGCUCGUAGGCGGCUUGUCGCGUCGAAUGUGAAAUCUCCUGGCUCAACUGGGAGCUUGCAGGCGAAACUGCCGUGCUGGAGUGUGGGAGAGGUGAGUGGAAUUCCUGGUGUAGCAGUGAAAUGCGUAGAUAUCAGGAGGAACACCGAUGGCGAAGGCAGGUCUCUGGGCUGACACUGACGCUCAUGCACGAAAGCGUGGGGAGCAAACAGG